RNAcentral lists this ribosomal RNA (262 nucleotides) under uncultured bacterium. Its description in RNAcentral is "partial 16S ribosomal RNA". It matches the Rfam family "Bacterial small subunit ribosomal RNA", at positions 793 to 1055 of the family's 1533-position model. The record is from RNAcentral.
GUCCACGCCGUAAACGUUGGGAACUAGGUGUUGGCGACAUUCCACGUCGUCGGUGCCGCAGCUAACGCAUUAAGUUCCCCGCCUGGGGAGUACGGCCGCAAGGCUAAAACUCAAAGGAAUUGACGGGGCCCGCACAAGCAGCGGAGCAUGUGGCUUAAUUCGACGCAACGCGAAGAACCUUACCAAGGCUUGACAUAUGCCGGAAACACCUGGAGACAGGUGCCCCCUUGUGGUCGGUAUACAGGUGGUGCAUGGUUGUCGU